RNAcentral lists this small nuclear RNA (100 nucleotides) under Colobus angolensis palliatus. Lineage: Eukaryota; Metazoa; Chordata; Mammalia; Primates; Cercopithecidae. The record is from RNAcentral.
UUGCUUAGGCAGCAAAUAUACUAAAAUUGGAAUGACACAAAGAUAAACAUGGUCCCUGAGCAAGAAUGACAUGCAAAUAUGUGAAGUGUUCCAUAUAGAA